AGAGUUUGAUCCUGGCUCAAGGAUGAACGCUAGCGGCAGGCCUAACACAUGCAAGUCGAACGGUAACAGGAAUUAGCUUGCUAAUUUGCUGACGAGUGGCGCACGGGUGCGUAACGCGUAUGCAACUUACCCCUAACAGGAGGAUAGCCUUUCGAAAGGAAGAAUAAUACUCCAUAAUAUUUAUAUGUGGCAUCACAUAUUUAUUAAAACUACGGUGGUUAGGGAUGGGCAUGCGUCCUAUUAGCUAGUUGGUGAGGUAACGGCUCACCAAGGCGAUGAUAGGUAGGGGGCCUGAGAGGGUUAUCCCCCACACUGGUACUGAGACACGGACCAGACUCCUACGGGAGGCAGCAGUGAGGAAUAUUGGUCAAUGGACGGAAGUCUGAACCAGCCAUGCCGCGUGCAGGAAGACUGCCCUAUGGGUUGUAAACUGCUUUUAUAUAGGAAUAAAACCCUCAACGAGUUGUGGGGCUGUGAUGUGCUAUAUGAAUAUACACCGCGUAUAACCCGUGUCAGCAGCCGCGGUGAAAC
This 531-nucleotide ribosomal RNA is filed under the name uncultured Flavobacteriales bacterium. RNAcentral describes it as "bacterial SSU rRNA". It matches the Rfam family "Bacterial small subunit ribosomal RNA", at positions 8 to 526 of the family's 1533-position model. Lineage: Bacteria; Pseudomonadati; Bacteroidota; Flavobacteriia; Flavobacteriales. The record is from RNAcentral.